Molecule: unclassified non-coding RNA, 345 nt
Filed under: soil metagenome
Description: partial contains 5.8S ribosomal RNA, internal transcribed spacer 2, and large subunit ribosomal RNA
Rfam family: 5.8S ribosomal RNA (bases 1-120)
Source: RNAcentral
GAUGAAGAACGUAGCGAAAUGCGAUACGUAAUGUGAAUUGCAGAAUUCAGUGAAUCAUCGAGUCUUUGAACGCACAUUGCGCCCCCUGGUAUUCCGGGGGGCAUGCCUGUCCGAGCGCCAUUGCUGCCCUCAAGCACGGCUUGUGUGUUGGGCCUCCGUCCUCCUCCCGGGGGACGGGCCCGAAAGGCAGCGGCGGCACCGCGUCCGGUCCUCGAGCGUAUGGGGCUUCGUCACCCGCUCUUGUAGGCCCGGCCGGCGCUUGCCGACACAUCAAUCUUUUUUCCAGGUUGACCUCGGAUCAGGUAGGGAUACCCGCUGAACUUAAGCAUAUCAAUAAGCGGAGGA